This 415-nucleotide ribosomal RNA is filed under the name uncultured bacterium. RNAcentral describes it as "bacterial SSU rRNA". It matches the Rfam family "Bacterial small subunit ribosomal RNA", at positions 335 to 769 of the family's 1533-position model. The record is from RNAcentral.
ACUCCUACGGGAGGCAGCAGUGGGAAUCUUAGACAAUGGGGGCAACCCUGAUCUAGCCAUGCCGCGUGAGUGACGAAGGCCUUAGGGUCGUAAAGCUCUUUCGCCUGUGAAGAUAAUGACGGUAGCAGGUAAAGAAACCCCGGCUAACUCCGUGCCAGCAGCCGCGGUAAUACGGAGGGGUUAGCGUUGUUCGGAAUUACUGGGCGUAAAGCGCACGUAGGCGGAUCGGAAAGUUGGGGGUGAAAUCCCGGGGCUCAACCCCGGAACGGCCUCCAAAACUAUCGGUCUAGAGUUCGAGAGAGGUGAGUGGAAUUCCGAGUGUAGAGGUGAAAUUCGUAGAUAUUCGGAGGAACACCAGUGGCGAAGGCGGCUCACUGGCUCGAUACUGACGCUGAGGUGCGAAAGUGUGGGGAGC